Panicum hallii is the source of this 608-nucleotide long non-coding RNA. RefSeq lists it as uncharacterized. Lineage: Eukaryota; Viridiplantae; Streptophyta; Magnoliopsida; Poales; Poaceae. The record is from RefSeq and is a predicted model, not a curated record. The transcript is spliced from 2 exons.
UCUCCGUGGAUUACGGAUAAAAUAUCUUUGUGUGCUCGGAAAUAGCUACUCCAGCGGAUAAAGCCUGCAUCUUUGCUGUGCUGUUUUUGUGUAGAAAUAUCUUGAGCAUCUAGCUUUUCUUUGCGCUUUGAUGCUGCUACCAAUUUGCAUUACCAUUUGCAGCAGAAGUUUCUACAUACAGAGCUCCAUUUACAUGCUCUGAAACCUGCUUUUUCAUGUGCAUCAGUGCACGGAAGACGCACCCGAUCAGCGCAGGAUCUGUUGAUGUGGCACGGUGGCACCUGGCCGACUCGGUGAGACCUGAUGAGCACAUCUAUCUGUUCGACUCCAGCCCUGGUUUCAGAUAACCCUACUUGUUCAGAGCAAGACGACAUGCUGCCUUGCCUUUUUAAGCUGCUUUCAGGAUUGGGAACGGCCGUACCGUAGUAGGUUGACCGUACCAAGGCGUACGUACAUAACGAAUCUACCAAUAGUAUCCCAGCCAUGUACGGUGUUCAUGUAAGGGUUGUUUGGAUCUACGCACUAAUUUUUAGUAGGAUUGUUGGAUCUACGGACUAAUUUUUAGUAGGGUUAUUUGGAUCUAGUGAUUAAUUUUUAUUCCCGGAUCA